This 467-nucleotide ribosomal RNA is filed under the name uncultured bacterium. RNAcentral's name for it is "partial 16S ribosomal RNA". It matches the Rfam family "Bacterial small subunit ribosomal RNA", at positions 28 to 507 of the family's 1533-position model. The record is from RNAcentral.
GAUGAACGCUGACAGAAUGCUUAACACAUGCAAGUCAACUUGAAUUUGGGUUUUUAACUUAGGUUUGGGUGGCGGACGGGUGAGUAACGCGUAAAGAACUUGCCUCACAGCUAGGGACAACAUUUGGAAACGAAUGCUAAUACCUAAUAUUAUGAUAAUAGGGCAUCCUAUAAUUAUGAAAGCUAUAAGCGCUGUGAGAGAGCUUUGCGUCCCAUUAGCUAGUUGGAGAGGUAACGGCUCACCAAGGCGAUGAUGGGUAGCCGGCCUGAGAGGGUGAUCGGCCACAAGGGGACUGAGACACGGCCCUUACUCCUACGGGAGGCAGCAGUGGGGAAUAUUGGACAAUGGACCAAGAGUCUGAUCCAGCAAUUCUGUGUGCACGAUGAAGUUUUUCGGAAUGUAAAGUGCUUUCAGUUGGGAAGAAAGAAGUGACGGUACCAACAGAAGAAGUGACGGCUAAAUACGUG